This 1378-nucleotide ribosomal RNA is filed under the name Prasinoderma coloniale. RNAcentral's name for it is "partial Bacterial small subunit ribosomal RNA". It matches the Rfam family "Bacterial small subunit ribosomal RNA". Lineage: Eukaryota; Viridiplantae; Prasinodermophyta; Prasinodermophyceae; Prasinodermales; Prasinodermaceae. The record is from RNAcentral.
UGAAGAGUUUGAUCAUGGCUCAGAUUGAACGCUGGCGGCAGGCUUAACACAUGCAAGUCGAGCGGUAACAGGGAGUGCUUGCACUCCGCUGACGAGCGGCGGACGGGUGAGUAAUGCAUAGGAAACUGCCCAGUAGUGGGGGAUAGCCCGGGGAAACCCGGAUUAAUACCGCGUACGCCCUUCGGGGGAAAGCAGGGGAUCUUCGGACCUUGCGCUAUUGGAUGUGCCUAUGUCGGAUUAGCUAGUUGGUGGGGUAAAGGCCUACCAAGGCGACGAUCCGUAGCUGGUCUGAGAGGAUGAUCAGCCACACUGGGACUGAGACACGGCCCAGACUCCUACGGGAGGCAGCAGUGGGGAAUAUUGGACAAUGGGGGCAACCCUGAUCCAGCCAUGCCGCGUGUGUGAAGAAGGCUUUCGGGUUGUAAAGCACUUUCAGUGAGGAGGAAAAGUUGGUCGUUAAUACCGGCCAGCCUUGACGUUACUCACAGAAGAAGCACCGGCUAACUCCGUGCCAGCAGCCGCGGUAAUACGGAGGAUCCAAGCGUUAUCCGGAUUCAUUGGGUUUAAAGGGUCCGCAGGCGGGCCAGUAAGUCAGGGGUGAAAGUUUGCGGCUCAACCGUAAAAUUGCCUUUGAUACUGCUGGUCUUGAGUUGUGGUGAAGUGGCCGGAAUAUGUGGUGUAGCGGUGAAAUGCAUAGAUAUCACAUAGAACACCGAUUGCGAAGGCAGGUCACUAACCACACACUGACGCUGAUGGACGAAAGCGUGGGGAGCGAACGGGAUUAGAUACCCCGGUAGUCCACGCCGUAAACGAUGGACACUAGCUGUUGGGGCUCACGCCUCAGCGGCCAAGCGAAAGUGAUAAGUGUCCCACCUGGGGAGUACGUUCGCAAGAAUGAAACUCAAAGGAAUUGACGGGGGCCCGCACAAGCGGUGGAGCAUGUGGUUUAAUUCGAUGAUACGCGAGGAACCUUACCUGGGCUUAAAUGCAGAACGACGGAUUGGGAAACCAGUCUUUCUUCGGACGUUUUGCAAGGUGCUGCAUGGUUGUCGUCAGCUCGUGCCGUGAGGUGUCAGGUUAAGUCCUAUAACGAGCGCAACCCCUACCGUUAGUUGCCAGCGAGUAAUGUCGGGGACUCUAACGGAACUGCCGGUGCAAACCGCGAGGAAGGUGGGGAUGACGUCAAAUCAUCACGGCCCUUACGUCCUGGGCUACACACGUGCUACAAUGGCCGGUACAAUGAGCAGCCACUGCGCGAGCAGGAGCGAAUCUAAAAAACCGGUCACAGUUCGGAUCGGGGUCUGCAACUCGACCCCGUGAAGCUGGAAUCGCUAGUAAUCGCGCAUCAGCCAUGGCGCGGUGAAUACGUUCCCGGGCC